CCAACAUGGACCACCGCUGGGGCGCCCUGGUGGCUUUGUCCGCAUGGCACCCGCAGAGGAGUCCAGCGCGCAGGUGCGGUGGUGAAGAGUCCUGUCCCAGGACACUGGGGAGGACCUUGUCCCCAGCCUCAGGACUGUUGCGGGCAUGUCCUGUAUGUUUCUCACCUUCUCAGUACCUGGUUGCUGAGGAGAAAAACCCUGUUUACAGGGUACAAUU
This 217-nucleotide small nucleolar RNA is filed under the name Prolemur simus (greater bamboo lemur). Its description in RNAcentral is "Small nucleolar RNA SNORA73 family (ENSPSMG00000006459.1)". Lineage: Eukaryota; Metazoa; Chordata; Mammalia; Primates; Lemuridae. The record is from RNAcentral.